This 520-nucleotide unclassified non-coding RNA is filed under the name uncultured Glomus. RNAcentral describes it as "SSU rRNA". It matches the Rfam family "Eukaryotic small subunit ribosomal RNA", at positions 569 to 1093 of the family's 1831-position model. The record is from RNAcentral. Lineage: Eukaryota; Fungi; Glomeromycota; Glomeromycetes; Glomerales; Glomeraceae.
AGCAGCCGCGGUAAUUCCAGCCCCAAUAGCGUAUAUUAAAGUUGUUGCAGUUAAAAGCUCGUAGUUGAAUUUCGGGAUCAAUACGUCGGUCGUGCUUCGGUACGUACUGGCGUAAUUGAUUCCUCCCUUCUGACGAACCAUGAUGUCAUUAACUUGGUGUCAUGGGAAAUCAGGACUGUUACUUUGAAAAAUUAGAGUGUUUAAAGCAGGCUCACGCUUGAAUACAUUAGCAUGGAAUAAUGAAAUAGGACGUUCGAUCCUAUUUUGUUGGUUUUUAGGAUUCAACGUAAUGAUUAAUAGGGAUAGUUGGGGGCAUUAGUAUUCAAUUGUCAGAGGUGAAAUUCUUGGAUUUAUUGAAGACUAACUACUGCGAAAGCAUUUGCCAAGGAUGUUUUCAUUAAUCAAGAACGAAAGUUAGGGAUCGAAGACGAUCAGAUACCGUGUAGUCUUAACCAUAAACUAUGCCGACUAGGGAUCGGAUGAUGUUAAUUUUUAAUGUACUCAUUCGGCGUCCUUACGG